GAUGAAGAACGUAGCGAAAUGUGAUACGUAAUGUGAAUUGCAGAAUUCAGUGAAUCAUCGAAUCUUUGAACGCACAUUGCGCCCGCCAGCACUCUGGCGGGCAUGCCUGUUCGAGCGUCAUUUCAACCCUCAGAACCCCUUUGGGGGAUCUGGCGUUGGGGAUCGGCAGUCCUGCCGGCCCCGAAAUAUAGUGGCGGUCUCUCUGUGACCUUCCCUGUGUAGUAGCGAUACCUCGCAGCGGGAUAGCAGUUUGGCCACGCCGUAAAACACCCAACUUCUCAAGGUUGACCUCGAAUCAGGUAGGAAUACCCGCUGAACUUAAGCAUAUCAAUAAGCGGAGGA
This 342-nucleotide unclassified non-coding RNA is filed under the name soil metagenome. RNAcentral describes it as "partial contains 5.8S ribosomal RNA, internal transcribed spacer 2, and large subunit ribosomal RNA". The stretch from base 1 to 120 matches the Rfam family "5.8S ribosomal RNA", at positions 35 to 154 of the family's 154-position model. The record is from RNAcentral.